Molecule: ribosomal RNA, 253 nt
Filed under: uncultured bacterium
Lineage: Bacteria
Description: partial 16S ribosomal RNA
Rfam family: Bacterial small subunit ribosomal RNA
Source: RNAcentral
GACGGAGGGUGCGAGCGUUAUUCGGAAUCAUUGGGCGUAAAGAGUGUGUAGGCGGCCGGUUAAGUCAGGCGUGAAAGCCCAGGGCUCAACCCUGGAAGUGCGUUUGAAACUGGCUGGCUUGAGUUCGGGAGAGGGAAGCGGAAUUCCUGGUGUAGAGGUGAAAUUCGUAGAUAUCAGGAGGAACAUCGGUGGCGAAGGCGGCUUCCUGGACCGAAACUGACGCUGAGACACGAAAGUGUGGGGAGCAAACAGG